GAUGAACGCUGGCGGCGUGCCUAAUACAUGCAAGUCGAGCGAGCGGACGAGAAGCUUGUUUCUCUGAUGUUAGCGGCGGAUGGGUGCGUAACACGUGGAUAACCUACCUAUAAGAAUGGGAUAACUUCGAGACACCGGGGCUAGUACCGGAUAAUAUUAUCAACCGCAUGGUUCAAAAGUGAAAGACGGUCUUGCUGUCACUUAUAGAUGUAUCCGCGCUGCAUUAGCUAGUGGGUAAGGUAACGGCUAACCAAGACAACGGUGCAUAGCCGACCUGAGAGAGGGAUCGGCCACACUGGAACUGAGGGACGAGCCAGACUAGGACGGGAGGCAGCAGUAGGGAAUCAUCCGAGAUGGGAGAAAGCAUGACGGAGCAAUGCGGGGUGGGUUAUGAAGGUCUUCGGACGGGAAGACUCUGUUAUUAGGGGAGAACAUAUGUGUAAGUAAGAGAGCACGUCUUGACGGUACCUAGUCAGAAAGCCACGGCUAACUACGUG
RNAcentral lists this ribosomal RNA (497 nucleotides) under uncultured bacterium. RNAcentral's name for it is "partial 16S ribosomal RNA". It matches the Rfam family "Bacterial small subunit ribosomal RNA", at positions 28 to 507 of the family's 1533-position model. The record is from RNAcentral.